This 407-nucleotide ribosomal RNA is filed under the name uncultured bacterium. Its description in RNAcentral is "bacterial SSU rRNA". It matches the Rfam family "Bacterial small subunit ribosomal RNA", at positions 355 to 775 of the family's 1533-position model. The record is from RNAcentral.
UCGAGGAUCUUCGUCAAUGGGCGCAAGCCUGAACGAGCGACGCCGCGUGCGCGAUGAAGGCCUUCGGGUUGUAAAGCGCGAAAGAGGGGAGAAAGCCGAAAGGUUGAUCGAUCCUCAGUAAGGACGGGCUAAGUUCGUGCCAGCAGCCGCGGUAAGACGAACUGUCCUAACGUUGUUCGGAAUCACUGGGCUUAAAGGGCGCGUAGGCGGUCCGACAAGUCAGGGGUGAAAUCCUGCAGCUUAACUGCAGAAGUGCCUUUGAUACUGUCGGUCUUGAGGGAGAUAGGGGUGUGCGGAACUUCCAGUGGAGCGGUGAAAUGCGUUGAUAUUGGAAGGAACGCCGGAGGCGAAAGCGGCGCACUGGAUCUCUUCUGACGCUGAGGCGCGAAAGCUAGGGGAGCAAACGG